GCAGACGGGUGAGUAACACGUGGGAACGUACCCUUUGGUUCGGAACAACCCUGGGAAACUAGGGCUAAUACCGGAUACGGCCGGAAGGCGAAAGGUUGACUGCCGAAGGAGCGGCCCGCGUCCGAUUAGCUUGUUGGUGAGGUAACGGCUCACCAAGGCGACGAUCGGUAGCUGGUCUGAGAGGAUGGCCAGCCACAUUGGGACUGAGACACGGCCCAAACUCCUACGGGAGGCAGCAGUGGGGAAUAUUGGACAAUGGGCGCAAGCCUGAUCCAGCCAUGCCGCGUGAGUGAUGACGGCCUUAGGGUUGUAAAGCUCUUUUACCCGGGAAGAUAGUGACGGUACCGGGAGAAUAAGCCCCGGCUAACUUCGUGCCAGCAGCCGCGGUAAU
RNAcentral lists this ribosomal RNA (391 nucleotides) under uncultured bacterium. Its description in RNAcentral is "bacterial SSU rRNA". It matches the Rfam family "Bacterial small subunit ribosomal RNA", at positions 98 to 524 of the family's 1533-position model. The record is from RNAcentral.